RNAcentral lists this long non-coding RNA (3216 nucleotides) under Nicotiana tabacum (common tobacco). RNAcentral describes it as "long non-coding RNA (NTAB_LNC003991)". The stretch from base 769 to 839 matches the Rfam family "MIR6151 microRNA precursor family". The record is from RNAcentral. Lineage: Eukaryota; Viridiplantae; Streptophyta; Magnoliopsida; Solanales; Solanaceae.
UUUUUUUUUUGUUUGAAAGCCGCAAAAAUUGAGGGGGGGAAAAAUUGUUUUCAAUCAAACGCCAUUAGAAAAUUUAUUUUGUUCAGAUUUUUCAGAAAAUUGAAAAACUACUUAAGGUAGAGAAAAACUUUUCCAUAUUGGUGCUUAGUAGGAAAAAAAAUUCUGAAAAAUCAACAAGUUUUUUUUUUUUUUUUUAAUUCUGAGAUAGUUCAACAACUAUUCUUGUUUGCACUGAAUCAGCACUUUAUUAUUGCUGUUUUGUUUGAUUUAAUUUAGUAAGUUUCUUUAUCGUAUAAAAGACAAUGCGUAUAACGAUUCAUUCACUUUGGUAGUUCUUUACCCAUUCAAUUGUAAAGUUGUUUACCCUAAAAAUUGGAUAACAAUUAAACUUAUAAUGUGAUUUUAAGGAUACAUGAUUUCGGCUAAUACCAAUUGAUAAAUACAAAGAUUAAUAAUAAAAAUUGACAAUAAAAUAAAGCAAACUAGUGUUUGAACAUAAUUCAGCUCUCGAGCUUGAAUACCCUCGAGCUUUGUUCGAGAACGAUUAAAAUGUGACAAGCUGAUGAAUAAGAGAAUGUAAGUUAAAGUGAGAAUAUAAGAUGGGAAGUAUUGUAUGCUUUGAUAUGCGUGAAUGUGAGGUGUCUACAAAGUGGUUAAAACCCUCUUUAUAUAGUAGAGUAAUUCUAACGGUUUCUGACACCAAAUAUUCUCCCUCCUCUUACUCGCCCGAUUUGAGAUAUAGCACGCGAUUGGAAGGUUCUGGAGAACGAUUGUUGGAUGAGUGUGAGGCGUUGGAUUGAUUUCACUCAAUCUGAGCCUCACAUUUAUCAAGGGCUCGUUGUCAAAAGGGACCAGAUCCAAUUUUGUAAGGGGAGGAGGAUUCAGAGGGAUUUUUAGAGAGGAUUUUGGAAAAGAAUUUGAGAGAUUUUUCUUCUUCAGCUUUUAUUGUUCUUUUAUUUCUGAUACUGGAACAACAAAAAAAAUCAUUGAGUGUUCGGCUAUUUCAUUUCAUGUCAAUUAUUGUUUAAAGUUUUUUUUUUCGAAAUCUCUAGAGUCCGUCUUCUUCAUUUUGAUUCUGGAUUUUGGUUUAAAAAUGGAAGUCAUUUGAGAAGUUCAAGGUUGUUGCUGCUCGAGGGUUGAUUUUCAGCUGCUAUUUGCUUCCUUUUGGUCGAUUUCAGUGUUGUAUUAAUUCAGUCUCUUAUUUCCAGGUUCAUUUCUUUCUUCCCUUUGGUUCUCGUUGUGAAUCGAUCUCUGAAUGAACUAUAAAACGUGUUGAAGUUUAAAGUAAUAGUUGACAUUUGUCAUUUUUGCUGCUCUGUUCUUCUUGUUUUCAGCUUCUUCCAUGAUUUCACAUGUGUGCUAUUGAAUGUCCAUAUAAUCCUCUAGUCUUGGAAUUCAUCUAAACAUGUAGCUGUGUGUGCUCAUUUGCCCUUCUAUCACUAUUGGAUCAUGGUUUGUUUGGGAAAAAUGUUUGAAAUCUGGUUGCUAAUUAGUCGAAGUUUAACUUUGUUCGGUUUUAUUGUAUCAUGAGUUGUCAAGUUGGUGUGUUCUCGCUAGUUGAAUCAGGUGAAUGAAUCAUAUAUUGAUCUGAAAUUUCAUGCUUGCUCAUGUACUAGUCACAAAUCAGUCGAGUUACGCGUAGUUUUCAUUCAUGCCUUUACGUUAGGAAUGCAUGACUAUCUGGACACUAAAAUUCCAAUCAGUUGAACUAGCUAUCUAUGUGCUCACAGUUCUAGUGGUCUGCUUCACUUUUGGCCAAGAUUGGCACCAUUGCAGCUGUUACUUUACUGGAAUUAGGACUAAAUAUGCAUGUCUUGCUGUUUGCUGAAGUCAAUUUGCUAGUUUUGUUCAUGCCUAUUGCUAAAAAUGUAUAGACCAUUUGUUCGCUUUCUUGCUUUUUUCAAACAUGAGUCAGUUGUGUCAGGCUAUUUGAAGCGCUAGUUUCUGUUAGAGUAUCUGCAUUUGGCAGCUGUGAUGGUGAUAAUCCUGCUUCUUAGAUUUUGGGUUCAAAACAGAGGUUAAGUUGUCAUGCGAAAUAUGUAUGUACAGAACUGCAUCCAUUUUUCUUUUUCACUUGAAUAACACUCUUGCGCUUGGAUUUUGAAAUAACUGAAUCAUCGUCCCUUAAGUUUCAUAGCUUUCUUUUGCAUAUUCACCAAUACUCGGACAUGAACUGGGCUUUGAACGAUUCCUGGAUUGCCGCUAGCUUAAGUCCUUGAUUUAUAAUUAAGUUUUGUUCAUAGUUGCCCCAUCGAUUUGAGUUUCACUUCUAGAGUUAACAGUUCUUAAGAGGUUAAAUAUCUUGUAGUCUUCUCUUUUCAGUUUCUCCUUGUCCCAUCGGCAGUAGUACUUUGAUAUGAGUGCCUAUUUUACUCAGUUAACUUUAUUUGGCAAUGAAGCAGUAGUAUAUCAAUGAACAUUUCCCCAGCCCUCUUUGGCAAUUAAUUUCUCAGUUUGCUUAACAAGGGGAGUGGUCGCAUUUGGAUGUUCUGGGGGCUAAAGACAACUUGGUCGAUCUGGGGAUGAAUAUUUAUGCUAAUUUUUAAGUCUUGUUAAGUCAAUGGAAAUCCAAGUCGUGCUUUAGUUAUAGUUGUUGGUUUAAAAUCCAUUUUUAGGGUAUCAAAUUAAGAAUGAGUCAAACUGUUGCAAUUGGUUUUUCAUGUUUCAAAUAGCUUUGUGCAGGCUCAUUUCUCUGCCGCUGCGUUUAAUUUUUUGAGGUUAUGUGGAGUAAAUCAAAUUUGCCAGAAUUUCUUAUAUUGUUGCAUUCACCGGAAGUUCUUUCUAUUUAAACAAAUCUGGUGCCUUGGAGUGUUUUAUUAGCCAGGUUCUUUCAUAGUAGUUGCUUGAUUUUGUAUUCAAUUUGUACUCCAUGACAAUGAAACACUAUUGAAUGUAUGAAGAAAGAAAGUCAGAAGAGUUUGGCAUUAAAAGUUUGUCCAGUAUAGUGAGACAGGGGUCAGUUUAUUUUCUGUUCGUUCAUCAAAUUGUUUUCUUUGCUAAUGAUGUCCCUAUCAGUUUAAGUUCAAAUCAUAUCUUAUUAUUUUACGUAUUGAUGAGUAUUCAGGAAUUGUGCUUGGAUGAUUAGAUUUGAGUUGGGCGCCCUAAGCUAAAAAGGGUUGAUGACGUGAGUUUUUUUAGUUGAUUUAUUUGACCUCGCGGAGUUUCAACUGAGUUUAGAUUAGUAAUUAGUCUUUGAAUAUUUUAACUUGCUCUAGG